GUCCUCAGUUCAGCGUUGUUUACAAGCCUGCAAGUUGCCUUCUUUUAAAGACGUGGCUCCGCCCUCGAUUCCUCAGCUCCCGCCUCGGAUGGGUCAACACGACCAGAAGGAAAGUUGCAUCAGAUGUCCCUCAGUGGACUGUGACCCACUAACCUCCUCUAUUUGAAAGAAAAUGUUGUCUUUAGGGAGUGCAAGACUCAUUUCAAUAGCCUUUGCGUGAAUGUUUAUUUUCAUAGUAAAUGGUUUGCUUAUUCACUGUUGGAGAUCCAGACAGUUAGUUUGUCAAAACAGGGUAUUAUAUAAUUUGACCGACUAUCAUAGGAAACUGUCUUUGAAUUGCACCUGCUGAGAAAACUAGCAAAAUAAAUGCCUUUUGUUUUUAAUGUAGCGUGAGUACAUUCACAAUGUCUUAUCCUUUCUAAUUCAGUUUAUUCUAUGUGUGUCAGUGCUGUAUGCAUGCCUAAGAGCUGUAGAAACUCACUGAAUGUGUGUGUAAUCAAGCAAAAUGCACUAUGGUGGCUACUGUCAUCAGCAUAGAGGAUCAUAUGAUGCAAUCUGCCACAACUGGCAAUAUCCACAUCCUCCACUGGCAAAAGAAAGCCCAAUCCAUCAUUCAAGAUUCACUGCAGUCCGGCCACAAGCUGUUUUGUUCUUUGCCGUCGGGCAGUCAUUAUUGCACCAUCAAAGCAAAGAACAGCAGACUAAAGCUUCCGCCCUAUUUGCAGUUCAUAAAUAACAUUUUUAUAGGACAUGUUCAAGGUUAACCUGGUGGAGAUGAUCUCUUCAUAUAUAUAUAAAUGUUCAUUUUGUAUAUGUAUCAAUAUAUAUAUUUCCCUUUGGUCUUGUGAUGUUUUGUUGUUCUUUUUGUUUAAUAAACAUUUGCUCAAAAACAAAGGGCAUGUUCAAGGUUUUCUGCUAGUUAGCAUGGCCCUGUUAGUCCCUGCUGAUGCAAUAUACAAGAUUCUGAAGGCAAAAAGCAUUUUCCCCCACUGAAAGCUAUUCAAAAGGAAUUAAUACUUAAAAAUAAAAUGUUCUAUUCAUCAAAGAAUCGUGAAUAAUGGCUGAUGAAAACUCUGUUUGGGAAUAGAUUGCAUUUAUAAAUACAUUAUCAUUUGAAAUCAGUUAUUAUAGAUUGUAAUGAUAUUUCACGCAAUAACUAAAACAAUUCUAGUUUUUGAUCAAAUAAAUGCAGUCUUAAAAAACAAUUUACCCAAAUUCACCCAUAUAUUUUACCAGACUGACUAUUUUAGUUUUUUCUCCUUCAAAAUGUUUAAUUCAGUGUGUUGUUUGCUGUUUCUUUGUAAUCAUUACAAAUUACUAGCAAUUUCUAAGUGAAAAUUGUUUCAAAUCCUACCCCAUUUUUUUACUAUGCUGCUAUACUGUAUAAUUUUAUAAUCUCUUGUGUCUAUUAUUAAGCAGGUUGUGUAUAAUGUAUUUGUUGUUUUACAAUCCCAGCAUGCUCUCAUUUUGCACUCUAGUGUAGCACAUAUGGCCAUAAAGCUCUCUACUCAUUACAAGAGAAUUUAGGUUGUAUGGAGGUCUGUAUGAUGACUGCUGAUAUUUUUGGGUGAGGUAGUUUACAGUAAGACUGCUGUGGUUCUGUGCUGUUGUAAUGACAGAGGAAGAGCACGUGAUAUUCAGUUUUUCUACUGUACUCAAAUGUUCCACAUCGUAGUCUUGUGUACAUGAACGCAUGAGCUACGUGAGAAAUGGGAGAGGUUAGAGAUUACAGAAUGUAUUUCUUCUUCCAGAGCCAUAAACAAUCUUUAGGCAGAACACACUGUACUACAAGGUUUUUUCCCCCUCUUUUUAUCUGUUGCUCUCUAACCAUAGUGCUCUAGUUCUUAAUCUGAGUCGAUUCUAUGUUUUCUCAAAUAAAACUAAACCUUUCUUCUUCCUAA
Long non-coding RNA from Carassius carassius (crucian carp), 1901 nucleotides. RefSeq lists it as uncharacterized. NCBI's taxonomy places the organism in Eukaryota, Metazoa, Chordata, Actinopteri, Cypriniformes, Cyprinidae. The transcript has 2 exons. The record is from RefSeq and is a predicted model, not a curated record.